Molecule: microRNA precursor, 90 nt
Filed under: Echinops telfairi (small Madagascar hedgehog)
Lineage: Eukaryota; Metazoa; Chordata; Mammalia; Afrosoricida; Tenrecidae
Description: miRNA (ENSETEG00000024716.1)
Source: RNAcentral
GGCCCGCGGGCGGAGGGCUGGGCUGGGCUGGGCUGGCCGCACGCCGUACCGAACUCGGCGCUCAUGUCACCUUUAAUCCUCACUAGUCUU